This 385-nucleotide ribosomal RNA is filed under the name Meloidogyne enterolobii. Its description in RNAcentral is "partial 16S ribosomal RNA". The record is from RNAcentral. Lineage: Eukaryota; Metazoa; Nematoda; Chromadorea; Rhabditida; Meloidogynidae.
AUUAUUUUAAGAUUAUUUUUUAUUGUUGAAAAAAUUAAAAAUAAAUUGUUUUUAACAAAAAUUAAAAUUUAUAAUAUUUCAUUUUUUGGUUUUUUGUUUUAAAUUAAAAUAAUAAAUAUGGGGGAAAAAAAAAUUUUGUUAUAAAUUAUAUUAGUUUAUUUUAAUUAAAAAUAUUUUUUAUUAAAUUUGUUUUUUUUAUUUUUUUAUAAAAAAUAUUAAUUUAAUUAUUAUUAUUGAGUUUAAUUUAGUUAUUUUUAAAAAAAUUUUGUAUAAAAUAAAUUUGAUAAUAAAUGUUUUUUAAAUUCUUUGGGGGUUUAGUUUAUGAUUUUUUGUUUCUGCUCAUUGUUAAAUAAAAGCACUUUUAGCGUGAUUGGUCAAAAGGUAA